AUUUAGAACCAGCAAUUAAAAUGUCAUUUGUCCAGACAGGGAAUUCCACAAUAUGGGGCAGCAACAGAAAAGACUCUUGUCUCUUGUCACGAGCAGCGGUGCUUCUGAGGUGCUUACCUGAGGAUCUCAACACCCAGGCAGGUUUAUGUAGGGAGAUAUGAUAUUUCAGGUAGCCUGGGAGCCUUUAAAAGGGUUGGCCUUUUUGCAAAAAGACCAACCUAUGUAUUGCAGACAGGAGGGAGAUCAAAGCUCCAUGCUACAUUUUCCCUACAAAACUAUAGGUCUGGAUAUGUCAAGUAAACUUAGGGCACAUUCUUCUUCCAAAGGGAAUGCUGGGAAUUGUAACCCUGGGAGGGGAAUGGUGUGUGUGUGUCUCCUAACAACUCUCAGCACCCUGAACAAAAGGCAGGGCCCAGAAUUGUUUGCAGGAAACUGUGGAUGUUUAAAGCGGUAUGGUACCACUUUAAAUGUACAGUGCAGAUGGGGCCCGGGACUAACACUGGAUCUACUAAAUAUUUGGAAGAGUGGUUGGUCUGCCUGUCCACCUGUUUGUUGGUUGUCUAUCUGCCUCUUGAGAAAUCAUCACUAAACUUGACACAAGGGGUCCUGAGGUGGUGGCGGCAGUUAGCAGUGGCAUUUGGAUGCCGGGUGCCAACUUGAAUCAAGAUGGUGGACCAAAAUAUGACUGUAAAGCGACUUGGCCCUUUUUGGCAUAGAUUUGGCUGCCUCUGGGGAUAUCAUUACCAAACCUGGCAUGCGGGUUCCCAAAGGGCAGGGGGAACGUGGUGUUUGCCUACACUUGGAUUCCAGGCGCCAUUUUGAUUCAAGAUGGCGGACCCAUUAUUUGGUGUGAUGGGUCCACACACAGACAAAUUACACUAUCCAUUUUUUAAAAAAACAUUUUUUUGAUUUCUACAAAUUCCUGGGCACUCCCAGCUAGUUCUUAAUUAAGGCAGAGCUAUGGGACACGAUUGGCACUGUGGGUUAAACCACAGAGCCUAGGACUUGCCGAUCAGAAGGUCGGCGGUUCGAAUCCCCACAACGGGGUGAGCUCCCGUUGCUCGGUCCCUGCUCCUGCCAACCUAGCAGUUCAAAAGCACGUCAAAGUGCAAGUAGAUAAAUAGGUACCGCUCCGGCGGGAAGGUAAACAGCGUUUCCAUGCGCUGCUCUGGUUCGCCAGAAGCGGCUUAGUCAUGCUGGCCACAUGACCCAGAAGCUGUACGCCGGCUCCCUCGGCCAAUAAAGCGAGAUGAGCGCCGCAACCCCAGAGUCUGCCAUGACUGGACCUAAUGGUCAGGGGUCCCUUUACCUUUUAUGGGUCACAAGGAACAUGGGACUGAUGUCAAGGCUGAUAGCCCCACAUCACGCUGCUGACUAACUUCCUCCUUGUCAACCUGGCCCACUCAUGAUACACAAAAACUUUUGAAGAAAUAGAAUACAGUAAAGGACACACACUUAGAAAGAACAGCCCUCCCUUCCCCUGUCUUCAGGUACCCUUGAAUCAAGGAGAACACGGUCAAUGGAACGUGCCUUGCCUACAGAUGAUGUGCUGCGUCUCUCCAAUGGUGUCACUGCACCUUGGUAAAACAUCAAAGCUUUGAUAAACAAGGAAGUUUGGAGGCAAUUCUUAUUAAUAAGAGCCACUAUUCCAUUCAUCGCAGAAGGCUCUUGGGAGAUGAUUCCUUUGAAGAAAAAAACCCACCCACCCUGCUUGAAGAGGAGGACUGCUCUGCCUCUGAAGGAUGGCGCCAGAUCUUUCCCGCCAAAGGUGACAUUUCUUCUCCAUUAAGUUUUGGGAAGAUCUUUCAGAAGAACCUUGAAUCAAAUUGAGAGCUGUACUGAAACCCACUCUCUUGUUUUAUUUUUUUUAGAUUUUAAACAUCUUUACUGAACCUUCAAAAAGGGCAUAAUUAUAUCUGCACUAAACAUGGUGAGACAUAAAUAAAAGAGAAAGAAAAAGAGAAGCAGAACCUGUGUAGAAGGGAAAAUAAAGAGGGGAGGGGGGAACCCCAAAACUGUAACCUUUACAAGGUUGUUAUUCACCAGAUCUUAACCUAUUACAGUAUUUGUAAGAAUGGAUUCCAAAUAUCAUUGAAUUUGUCCAAGGCAAAUCUGCGUUUAUAUGCAAGUUGUUUAUAUGUUGCGAGUUUGUAUAAAUCUUCAAUCCAAU
RNAcentral lists this long non-coding RNA (2170 nucleotides) under Podarcis lilfordi (Lilford's wall lizard). The record is from RNAcentral. Lineage: Eukaryota; Metazoa; Chordata; Lepidosauria; Squamata; Lacertidae.